This 104-nucleotide transfer RNA is filed under the name Lachnellula suecica. It matches the Rfam family "tRNA". Rfam says of the family: Transfer RNA (tRNA) molecules are approximately 80 nucleotides in length. Their secondary structure includes four short double-helical elements and three loops (D, anti-codon, and T loops). Lineage: Eukaryota; Fungi; Ascomycota; Leotiomycetes; Helotiales; Lachnaceae. The record is from Rfam by way of RNAcentral.
GCGUUUGUGGUUUAGUGGUAAAAUCCAUCGUUGCCAUGAGAGUUAUGUUUAAUAUGUAAUUCUUCAACAUCGAUGGGCCCCGGGUUCGAUUCCCGGCGAACGCA